Molecule: non-coding RNA, 633 nt
Organism: Schizosaccharomyces pombe (fission yeast)
Lineage: Eukaryota; Fungi; Ascomycota; Schizosaccharomycetes; Schizosaccharomycetales; Schizosaccharomycetaceae
Source: the annotation of a GenBank genome assembly
UUCAACUUCAUCAAUCUCACUAUUACUUGAACUGGAUACCGCUUGCACAAGUUCAUUAUAUCUAGCAAUAAACCGUGGUUGCGUCGAGAAUACAAUAGAAAAGGACUCUUCUAAAUCACAGUGAACAGUGAGAAUCUCCAAAAUAUCAACUAAAUGAAUUUGACUAGCAUAUACAUUGUCUUCGUUGAUUUUCAGCGAAAGAUCUGGAAACUCGCACAAAAGUUCAGAAUCAGAAUCAAGAAGAUUCAAAGACUCUAAGCGUGCUCUAACUAAUCCAAAAAAAUCUUCAAUGGUAUUUUCGUUUAAAUCGUCACCAUUAGAAUAUAAAUACAUACCCUCAUCGUUGUUAUUACCAUAAAAAGCACAUUCCGAAGAGUUUGGAAAAAUGACGAUACCCUUGGAAAGCCAAUUAAAAUCUCGGGUUUCGGCUUCACUUGUGGAAUCUUUGGGAUCAUCAGAAAUGGGAAGAAUGUUGUUAACACUUUGAGCGUUCAAUUCUGACGAAGGUGAAACGACAUCAUCUACAUCCACAACUUCAUUUGCCAAUUCAUUUAGCUCAGUGGGUACUUCGUCUAAAUCAUUUUCCCCAUGCGUCGUACCUUUAGCUUCAAGAUCUACAGCAUCCGUUGCUUC